CCUAGAUACACGCCGUGGGUGGAGGCGGGGGACCCAACGUACGUGACCGCUUCGGUGGUCUUGGGGUGAAGCCAGCGCGACUGGCCGGGUACUCACGAACCCGAACCCGACAGCUCACCUCGAAGGCGCUCACCGUGAGAGGUC
This 144-nucleotide small RNA is filed under the name Angustibacter sp. Root456. RNAcentral's name for it is "c-di-AMP riboswitch aptamer (ydaO/yuaA leader)". It matches the Rfam family "c-di-AMP riboswitch aptamer (ydaO/yuaA leader)". Rfam says of the family: This family represents a conserved RNA structure found upstream of the ydaO and yuaA genes in Bacillus subtilis and related genes in other bacteria. The ydaO/yuaA element is thought to act as a genetic "off" switch for the ydaO and yuaA genes in its native state. The record is from Rfam by way of RNAcentral. Lineage: Bacteria; Bacillati; Actinomycetota; Actinomycetes; Kineosporiales; Kineosporiaceae.